ACAUGCAAGUCGAACGGCAGCACGGGAGCAAUCCUGGUGGCGAGUGGCGAACGGGUGAGUAAUAUAUCGGAACGUGCCCAGUCGUGGGGGAUAACGUAGCGAAAGCUACGCUAAUACCGCAUACGAUCUACGGAUGAAAGCGGGGGACCUGUAAGGGCCUCGCGCGAUUGGAGCGGCCGAUAUCAGAUUAGGUUGUUGGUGAGGUAAAAGCUCACCAAGCCUGCGAUCUGUAGCUGGUCUGAGAGGACGACCAGCCACACUGGAACUGAGACACGGUCCAGACUCCUACGGGAGGCAGCAGUGGGGAAUUUUGGACAAUGGACGCAAGUCUGAUCCAGCAAUGCCGCGUGCAGGACGAAGGCCUUCGGGUUGUAAACUGCUUUUGUACGGAACGAAACGGUCUGCUUUAAUACAGUGGGCUAAUGACGGUACCGUAAGAAUAAGCACCGGCUAACUACGUGCCAGCAGCCGCGGUAAUACGUAGGGUGCGAGCGUUAAUCGGAAUUACUGGGCGUAAAGCGUGCGCAGGCGGUUAUAUAAGUCAGAUGUGAAAUCCCCGGGCUCAACCUGGGACCUGCAUUUGAGACUGUAUAGCUAGAGUACGGUAGAGGGGGAUGGAACUCCGCGUGUAGCAGUGAAAUGCGUAGAUAUGCGGAGGAACACCGAUGGCGAAGGCAAUCCCCCUGGACCUG
Molecule: ribosomal RNA, 692 nt
Filed under: uncultured bacterium
Lineage: Bacteria
Description: bacterial SSU rRNA
Rfam family: Bacterial small subunit ribosomal RNA
Source: RNAcentral